UCUCCCACAAACCAGCACACUGAUCCAACCUCUCCCACAACCCAGCACACUAAUACAACCUCUCCCAGAACAGAGAUAACCACCUCACACUGAUCCAGCCUCUUCCACAACCCAGCACAUUGAUCCAACCUCUCCCACAACCCAGCACACUGAUCCAACCUCUCCCACAACAGACAUAACCCAACACACUGACCCAAAGUUUCCCACAACAGAGAUAACCCAGCACACUGAUCCAACCUCUCCCACGACAGAGAUAACCCAGCACACUGAUCCAACCUCUCCCACGACAGAGAUAACCCAGCACACUGAUCCAACCUCUCCUACAACAGAGAUAACCCAGCACACUGAUCCAACCUCUCCCACAACAGAGAUAACCCAGCACACUGAUCCAACCUCUCCCACAACAGAGAGAACCUCAGCACACUGAUCCAACCUCCCCCACAACAGAGAUAACCCCAGCAUACUGAUCCAGUCUUAUCUACACAAAAGAGAUAGCCGCAGUGCACAGAUCCAGUCUUAUCUACACAAUAGCCAAACAAACAGUUCUAGCCUCAUUCAGACACUUGUGCAUGAAACUAACCUCAGUAUCUAGACCCAGCUCAUGCUUGACAUGCUCUCCGCACUAGUAUCUCAGAGUCCAUUUCCCCAGAUUACAUUCCAUUACAGUCUUUUGUUACUUCCAGACCAACCACAAUGCCACUAUACUGUACAUCCGAGCUACAUGAUCAUAAAGCAAAGGUUUCAGGAAAAUCUUAAGACUGAGAAUGACGUUCUCCAGAAAGGCAAGACCUCAGUUCCUGUGUAUGUAAUCAGUACAUAACUAAGAGAAAAAACAAAUGGGACAACAAUACAAAAAUUAAGAGUCUCCCUUCAGCCCUGGGUACUGAUUAGUACAAGGCAAUCAACUGAUGAAAGGAAUGAAUGAAAAAGUUCUUGCAGAGGAGGGAUGUCUUUGAUCAUAUGCCACACAAGGACUGAACAGGCUGUUUCUUUGAGGAUUUCACUCAGUACAUGAAUGUUUUCGCCUGCUGAUUAAAACCCGCUUAGUGCCAAAAGCACUUUCGGCGUCAGAGAGAAUACCAGGGACACCAUACAAGCUGGCAGACUACUGGAAGGCAGGCACUGAUUGUGUCCCAAGAUUGCCCUUACAUGAAAUACAGAACAAAACUGCCUCUUGCAUGAGAGACAACCGAUCUGAAAGCUUUCGAGUGGGGUGCCAUUAUAUCCAAGGCAUUGCUCAUGCACGUCCAAUGAGCAUCACAGACAGCAGCAAAGGGAGUAUACAUGCAGUUGGCUGCAGAUGUCUUUGUGAAAUGAAAGGAAGUAUUGAAAGGCUGAAAUAUAUUUCAAUGGAAGUAACCCAGCAGUUUUCUCAUCUAAACAAUAUUAAAAUAUACAACUGUUUCUCCCAAAACAAGGUUAGAAAAUCUUCCCCCACAAGGGUGAAGGGUUGACCAGCAAGGCUUCGGAGGGGAUCGCACAGAACUGGAGCUAUGUUCUCUCUUAUCCUCCAUUUCGUCAUCUUUAGAGGGAGAAUCAGAGUUUUUCAAUCUGAUUUCACGUCUAGACUGUGAAGGGCAGAAGGAAGGGCCAUUGCCGUCAUUUCCUCAUCAUACAAAUUCAGAGAAGGGAUACAACCUGCACAAAGGAAUCAAUUAAACCCCAAAAUUGAUCGGGCUCUGAAAAAAUUUUGAACUGUUGUCACUGUUUCAAACGAAUGGGGUAGAAGAAAUCCCCAGGAAAAUAGGUUUAAACCAAAUUAUGCAAAGAACAUCAGCAAAUCCUCUCAUGUGUCAUGUAAGAAUCUGUCUGCAAGGGAAAACCAGAGACUAGUGGGCAGAGCUGGGGGAACUCAGCAAAUGACUUACUGGGAAGGUUAAAUUUGAACUAGCUGAAGAGACGAACCAGACCAGAAAGUACAGGAUUAAAAACAUACAUUAUCCUAAUUGGACUAAAAAUAAAAGCUUAUUAUUUUAAAAAUUACAGUGGAGCUACAUAAGUACAAUAGAAGUUGUUGAGUAGACACUACAAAUUUGCUUAGUACACAAGAUCUGCCACUAGAAAAUGCUAAUUUAAAAAGUAACAGGUAUUCAACCAAUACAUUGGAGGCUGUUGGUGCUUUCACUGCAUUGAGUUAUUGAUGCACCGCAUAGUCCAGAAUCAAAGCCUCAUCACGCAAGUUACAAUUGUGGGCAGGAGUCCCACAGGCUAAAUUAUAAUUUCUCCUGGGGAGGAGGUUUUCAUUUGGUAGGCUACUCCCUACCUCAUUAGUGUAGUGACUCCUCUGGCUAAUGGGGUAACUCCCUGCUACCUACUCUAGCUGUGUGAUAUGUAAAGUCUUAUGGUGCAAUGGAUCAGCUCAGACUGCAGAGCUAAAAGAAGCGGCUGCUGGCUACACACAGGCAUGCUAAUGUCCACCCUUCCAAGCUGAUGUAAAAAAAAAAAUUGAAAUGGGAUUGUGUUGCUUCCUCAAAUAAUAAAGUGAGCAAAGUUUAUGAGCCAUUGGUUUCCCUACAUACAGUAGUUGACUAUUACACACACCAUAGUUAAAAUGUAGUAAUGAUUACACUUUUGUAUUAUUUAGUAGCACUGAUAAUCUCCAAUUAUGCAAGUCACCUUGAAUAAGAGUGUCUAACUAAAUGCAAUGAGAUUUAAUGUAUUCCGACAGUAAGAAAAUGGCUUACUUCAUAUGGACUAACAAAAGAUCAACAGAUAAGUAAAGUUACCCCAUCUGAGCAAAGAGCUGACACACUACCUCCACUGUUCUUUGAGUUCAGUUAUCACUCCUUCUCCACCUUUCUGUGAGAUCAGUGCUCACUCAUACUCCUCUACUCCUCCCUCCCUCUCUCUCUCUCUUUCUCUCUCUCAGCAUCGUGCCCACUCUCACAUAGUCCCUCUGAGCUAUGCACACCUGACCUCACCAUGGCCAUGUUGUUUUCCAGCUCCCUGGUUAUGUGCGGGGAGUGGGCAUGGCAGGAAGGGGCGGGGGGAAGAGGUGGUGACCCUGCACACUUGCUCUGGCUGUCGGCUGACCGUGCAGAAGGACACAAUAAAAACAGAUGGAAGAGAGAAAAGAUGAUGAAGGGGAGGAGAAGGAGGAGGAGGAGGUGACACCGGGCACUACUGCAAUACAGACAGCUGAUUACACGCCAGCGUCCCCAAACUCCCGCUCCCACCAAUGCUCGUGACAUGCUGGUCAGCAGAGCUACAGAGCAGUACUACAAUUCCCACCAGCAGUGGAGUACUUAUGGGUUGGUGACACCAGAAGCUGUGUGCAGAAGCAUUGAAAUUCAAAUCCAGUGCUGACAGAACCCAACCACGACUACCUCCAGUGGAGUUUCACCUUGGAUUUGUCCAAAUGCAAGCCAUAUGUGAUUUUUUUGCGCUCAGAUUACAUCUGAGAUCUACAGAACCUAAAAAGACAAGUGUAACUGGGGCCUACAUAACCUUGAAUCAAAUCUGAGUGUUCCAACCAGACAUCAGCAUAUCAGAGAAGGUAUUUUGUGAAGGACAUGCUAUGUUCAAGUCCAGUGUGUGUUUGUGUGUGUGUGUGUUGUUAUAUUAUUUUAUCCUGCCCCUUUUCUCUAUCAUUGGGAAGCUCGGUUACAUCUUUUGACUAAAAUCUGCACAAGGGUGUGCAGCUCACUCAGAAGCCAGGAACAGUUUUCCACACUACAGAUCACACAGUAUUACAGCAAGGUUACCACUAGGGAUGUCAGGCAUCUGGUUUUCGGCCAGAAUGUCCAGUUUUCAAAUUAUUUGUAUAGGUCUGGUUUGUGGUCCCGCCAAGACGAUGUAAUGUAACUGAUAAGUACCUGGUUGAGCAAUAGAUGGAAGAAAUUUUCCCAGUAGUUUGUAACAAAUUAGCAUUUCAAUGAAUGCCCGUUCCGAUAGCACAACACACCAGUCUGAAAUUGGUUCCGAGAGGACCACCCCGAUUACACUUCCAGCUGUGCAUGUCAUCUGGUUUUGACCAUUUCUAAAUCUGGCAAGCCCAGUUACCACUGAUCAGUGUAGAUACAUAGCUUGCACAGCUAGACAGUGGGCACCAGUAAAUAGGAAGCCUGGCUGACUUAAACGAGCCCUACCUGUGGUGAACAGUUAAGAUAUUCAAGUGUGUCCUGCCACUAUGUGACAAAGUAGGGGCUUGAAUCUAUGGUGUUUCAGCAAUGGGGCUCAACAUGCGCAAUAGGGAAAGCAUGUCGACAUAGACUAGCAUCCUCUGAGGUGCAUUCCCUUUUUUCUACAUUCAUUUUAAGAGAUAUUUUAAGAAGGUAAUUGCUCUUCCAAACAUCGUUUUGUCAUUGCUGUUGCAAUGUUAUACUGUUCUUCGGCUUGCUCAGGUCUGCUCCAAAAUCAAUAACAUCCUAACUUUUAAAAAACUAAUAAAUAAAACUGACCACUGCAGCUUAAAACAAGACAUCAGUUACAUGUCAUGAGUUACAUGAGUACUUUUAUUCAAACAUAAUAAUUAAUUAGUGCCAUGGAAAACAUUUCCAGUGUACAUAUUUUGAAUGAUUAUUUUGGUGGGUGAAGGUAUUGCUCAUAUAAGCCUAAGUGUGUGUAAAAUUAGGAUGAGAAACACUGAAUUAAAUUGAAGCAAUACAAAACCCUUUGGAAAAAAAAGCUUUUUUCUGAGAGAUUCGUUGUUUGGAAAUUGAGUGAAAAAGCAAAGCUGGUUCUUUCAGCAGUUCAUCCUGCAAUGAGCAUUUGUGACCCUUCUCUUUCUCCAUUUUAGUUGUCAUGAUUUUCAUUUAACUUCUAAAUAAUGAAAUCAUCACC
Anguilla rostrata (American eel) is the source of this 4782-nucleotide long non-coding RNA. RefSeq lists it as uncharacterized. NCBI's taxonomy places the organism in Eukaryota, Metazoa, Chordata, Actinopteri, Anguilliformes, Anguillidae. The record is from RefSeq and is a predicted model, not a curated record. The transcript is spliced from 3 exons.